UACGUAGGGUGCAAGCGUUGUCCGGAAUUAUUGGGCGUAAAGAGCUCGUAGGCGGUUCUGUCGCGUCUGCUGUGAAAACUCAGGGCUUAACCCUGAGCUUGCAGUGGGUACGGGCAGACGUAGAGUGCGGUAGGGGAGACUGGAAUUCCCGGUGUAGCGGUGAAAUGCGCAGAUAUCGGGAGGAACACCGGUGGCGAAGGCGGUUCUCUGGGCCUUACCUGACGCUGAGGAGCGAAAGCGUGGGGAGCGAACAGG
RNAcentral lists this ribosomal RNA (255 nucleotides) under uncultured bacterium. Its description in RNAcentral is "partial 16S ribosomal RNA". It matches the Rfam family "Bacterial small subunit ribosomal RNA", at positions 524 to 776 of the family's 1533-position model. The record is from RNAcentral.